AACCAGCCAAAAUUCUUUCCUGAAUGAAAACAUCUUUUUUUAAAGUUGCAUAUACACAAAAGAAAAAUGCCAAAUGGUUUUUAUUUUGCCUGAAUAUAAGGUUUAAACAAGGUACUGCCAUAGAAGUCUCUACCGCAGAACGUUCUGUUGGACUCUUUCAUGGAACUGUAGGAUCAUAUGGGCAGCCCUUGUGUUUGAACCGUACCCUCUGUCUUCCGAUUCUGUCACCCUGGGAAAGAAAGAAGCAGAACCUGAGGCUCCUUUCAUUCACUCAUUGCUGGGAUCAAUGUCCAGGGCCAAGGCAGUUUUAUUUGUAUGGAUUUCUGUUCACUGCUGCAGUAUAGAGGUUGCAGAAUCCCUUAAG
Psammomys obesus (fat sand rat) is the source of this 364-nucleotide long non-coding RNA. RefSeq lists it as uncharacterized. Lineage: Eukaryota; Metazoa; Chordata; Mammalia; Rodentia; Muridae. The record is from RefSeq and is a predicted model, not a curated record. The transcript is spliced from 3 exons.